This 777-nucleotide unclassified non-coding RNA is filed under the name Hevea brasiliensis (rubber tree). The record is from RNAcentral. Lineage: Eukaryota; Viridiplantae; Streptophyta; Magnoliopsida; Malpighiales; Euphorbiaceae.
ACUGUUUACACCCUGUUUGGAAGAACCCCAUCAUUCUUGCUUCCUCUGCUUCACCAUUUUUCCACAAUUUGAGAAAUACCAAACAGCUCAACUAUGGGGAAAAAACAAGACUUUACAGCAAAAGAUCAAGAAUUGUGUGUGGGUUUUUGCCAGUUGAUCCAUGGGCACCAAAUGUUGACUCACAGAGUAUAGCUUCACAGCUAUUUGCUUUUUCUCUGUUCCCUUAUGUGGGUUUUUUGUACUUCAUCACCAAAUCCAAGACUGCCCCAAAGCUUACACUUUUUGGGUUUUAUUUCUUGCUUGCUUUUGUGGGUGCCACAAUUCCUGCUGGAAUUUACGCGAAGGUGCAUUAUGGAACUUCCCUGUCCAACGUUGAUUGGUUGCAUGGAGGAGCUGAGUCACUGCUCACUUUAACCAAUUUAUUCAUUGUGUUGGGGCUAAGGGAAGCUAUUAGGAAAGCUGAGAAUCCUGAAGAGAGCAAAAACAAUGAUGUCUCCAGAAUUAAAGAAAAGAAGAAGUCAUCAAUCUAGUUGACAUGUACCUAUCAUCCUUUUGUUGUUUGUAUACAUCUGAAUAUCAGCGGUUCAAAGAAAAAUGUUGCGUUUUCUUUGCCCGUCUGGUUUCACUAGGUAUAUGCUGUUACUGGAUGCUGCUCUGGACUCUUUUGUCCAUUGUAUUUUCACUGCAAGCAUAGGUUUAACAGUCCCAUCCUGAUGCAUCAUUAGAAAAAGAUUGUUGUAUAGAUUGCGUCAAUCAAUGUUAUGAACAGUCAAUGAA